Andrographis paniculata is the source of this 114-nucleotide small nuclear RNA. RefSeq annotates it as U5 spliceosomal RNA. The record is from RefSeq and is a predicted model, not a curated record. Lineage: Eukaryota; Viridiplantae; Streptophyta; Magnoliopsida; Lamiales; Acanthaceae. The transcript has a single exon.
GAGCUGUGCAGUGAGUGCAAAGCAAACUAUUUUUUUGCUUUUUACUAAGAAUACUAUGUACUCGCUGCAAUCAAGCAGCAUAUUAUACUUUUUAAAAGGAUUUUUUCUUAUCCG